AUUAGAGUUUGAUCCUGGCUCAGAUUGAACGCUGGCGGCAUGCCUUACACAUGCAAGUCGAACGGCAGCACGGGAGCAAUCCUGGUGGCGAGUGGCGAACGGGUGAGUAAUAUAUCGGAACGUGCCCAGUCGUGGGGGAUAACGUAGCGAAAGCUACGCUAAUACCGCAUACGAUCUACGGAUGAAAGCGGGGGACUCGUAAGGGCCUCGCGCGAUUGGAGCGGCCGAUAUCAGAUUAGGUUGUUGGUGAGGUAAAAGCUCACCAAGCCUGCGAUCUGUAGCUGGUCUGAGAGGACGACCAGCCACACUGGAACUGAGACACGGUCCAGACUCCUACGGGAGGCAGCAGUGGGGAAUUUUGGACAAUGGACGCAAGUCUGAUCCAGCAAUGCCGCGUGCAGGACGAAGGCCUUCGGGUUGUAAACUGCUUUUGUACGGAACGAAACGGUCUGCUUUAAUACAGUGGGCUAAUGACGGUACCGUAAGAAUAAGCACCGGCUAACUACGUGCCAGCAGCCGCGGUAAUACGUAGGGUGCGAGCGUUAAUCGGAAUUACUGGGCGUAAAGCGUGCGCAGGCGGUUAUAUAAGUCAGAUGUGAAAUCCCCGGGCUCAACCUGGGACCUGCAUUUGAGACUGUAUAGCUAGAGUACGGUAGAGGGGGAUGGAAUUCCGCGUGUAGCAGUGAAAUGCGUAGAUAUGCGGAGGAACACCGAUGGCGAAGGCAAUCCCCUGGACCUGUACUGACGCUCAUGCACGAAAGCGUGGGGAGCAAACAGGAUUAGAUACCCUGGUAGAAUCACUAGUGAAUUC
RNAcentral lists this ribosomal RNA (811 nucleotides) under uncultured Rhodoferax sp. Its description in RNAcentral is "bacterial SSU rRNA". It matches the Rfam family "Bacterial small subunit ribosomal RNA", at positions 1 to 809 of the family's 1533-position model. Lineage: Bacteria; Pseudomonadati; Pseudomonadota; Betaproteobacteria; Burkholderiales; Comamonadaceae. The record is from RNAcentral.